RNAcentral lists this long non-coding RNA (72 nucleotides) under Crocodylus porosus (Australian saltwater crocodile). Its description in RNAcentral is "Mammalian CPEB3 ribozyme (ENSCPRG00005018052.1)". It matches the Rfam family "Mammalian CPEB3 ribozyme". Rfam says of the family: The mammalian CPEB3 ribozyme is a self cleaving RNA located in the second intron of the CPEB3 gene which belongs to a family of genes regulating messenger RNA polyadenylation. Lineage: Eukaryota; Metazoa; Chordata; Crocodylia; Crocodylidae. The record is from Rfam by way of RNAcentral.
AGAGAAAACUACCAUAACAGAAGUACUCGUGUUGCAGCCCUGACAGAUUCUAGCAAAUCUGCAAAUUCUGCU